AUUAUUUCCCUAGAUUGGUGUAUUGGAAAAGGUCAGCAAACAGAAACCAGGGUAGAUUGUUCAUAUGUGAAUGAGUGUCCCAAUAUGGCAAAUACCCAGCACUGACAAAAACCUACCCAUCCAAUAAUUUUUGGAAAGAAUUCUUCAAGAUGACAACCAAUCACAUGCAGAAGAUGGGGACCAUUUAUGGCCCACACGAAGGUUCACUGUGAGGCUUAACAACACUUGAUCAGCUCAAAUUAAGCUUGUGUUUGCCCUUGGUGGUCAUCUCAAGGAAGAGCAAUUAAAGAACAGCUUUAUUGAGCAUCAUCAUUUUCUAUCAUCAAGCAUUUGUUGUCUUGUUAUUUUCAAGUGUUGAUCCCUCUUUAAGAGCUGCUUGUGCCUCACUCUCCCUUCCCAAUGCAAAAAGAGCUGUUGCCUGUAAAUAGGAUGCAAUAUUCCAAAUAGGGGAUAUUACUUGGGCUUGCACUGCAUCAUUAAGGGCUUCCUGUGGCAUUUCGUUCAUAAGAUAAGAUAGACUUCGGCGUGCAUAGACAGUUGGAGAAACCAUGGUUCCAACCUCAAUGAACUGGGAAUAGCAUUCAAUGGCAGCUCUAAAAUCUUUAUGCCGGAAGGCAACAUCACCCUUUUUCUUUGAAU
This 639-nucleotide unclassified non-coding RNA is filed under the name Hevea brasiliensis (rubber tree). The record is from RNAcentral. Lineage: Eukaryota; Viridiplantae; Streptophyta; Magnoliopsida; Malpighiales; Euphorbiaceae.